Molecule: unclassified non-coding RNA, 1002 nt
Filed under: Hevea brasiliensis (rubber tree)
Lineage: Eukaryota; Viridiplantae; Streptophyta; Magnoliopsida; Malpighiales; Euphorbiaceae
Source: RNAcentral
AGAUUGGGAUUUGGAAAAGAUUGUUUGAGAGUGAUAGAUGUUCGAGAUUUUUUAAACCCCUAAGUGGAGAUGAAGAGAUGUUCCCAAUAAAGUGAUUGGAAGAGAGAUCUAGCCAUUGAAGGGAUGUCAAAUUCACUAGACACAAAGGCAAGCUACCACUGAAAUCAUUGUAGCUAAUAUCUAGCAUUUGGAGAUGUAUUAAUUCGCACAAACCUUGGUUUAGAAACGUUGUACUAUCAAGUCCACAAUUGUGCAAUGAUAAUGUUUGAAGGGAGGACAACUCUCCAAUUGAUUGUAGAAAAUUACUGUUGACAAUAGAGUAACCCAAAUACAAAUACUCCAAAUCCUUCAGAUGUGGCAAGCCUUGGAUUGGUAGGGUGCAAUUCAAUUCACCUAAAGACAAAACCCUAAGAGAAGAUAAUACUUCAAGACUUUGGAGAAGGUUUUCAUCCAGGGAAGACCCGUCUAAAUACAGCUCUUUCACAUUUAUCACUUUAGAACCUUGAUCAAAUAUUGUCCCUUUGAAAUUACUCCCUGUCAUAUAUAGGGUCUUGAGUUGGGCCAAUGCUCCCAAUGACAAUAUUGUCCCUUUGAAAUUACUGUAUCUCAGAUAGAGGUUCUUGAGAUGGGUCAAUGCUCCCAAUGAUUCUAAUAGCAUGCUUCUUCCUUCUACGGUGAUGUCAUCUAAAUAAAGGAUGCUCAAAUUUUUUGGACUUCUGAUUUCUCUUGAGCUGAUAAAUUUUGUAAUGUUAUUUCCGCUCAAAUUCAGCUCCUCUAGAUUGCUCAUAGUAUCUAAUUCUGUCAAAUUGAGUGGUCCUUUCAAUAGAUUAUAUCCUAUCCAUAGAGUUUUGAGAGAUGAGAGCCCCUUAAUGGAGGGUAAAAUAUCAUUACUAAAGUUAUUGUAACUCAAAUAAAGAUACUCUAGAUUGCUCAUAUUUAGUAAUUUUUCACCACCAUGUAAAGAUUUAAAGCCUUCAAUUUCGUUGCCCGGUAUAUCCAACA